CCUACGGGUGGCAGCAGUGGGGAAUAUUGGACAAUGGGCGAAAGCCUGAUCCAGCCAUGCCGCGUGUGUGAAGAAGGCCUUCGGGUUGUAAAGCACUUUCAGUGGGGAAGAAAGCCUUGGGGCUAAUACCCUCGAGGAAGGACAUCACCCACAGAAGAAGCACCGGCUAACUCCGUGCCAGCAGCCGCGGUAAUACGGAGGGUGCGAGCGUUAAUCGGAAUUACUGGGCGUAAAGCGCGCGUAGGCGGUCUGAUAAGCCGGUUGUGAAAGCCCCGGGCUCAACCUGGGAACGGCAUCCGGAACUGUCAGGCUAGAGUGCAGGAGAGGAAGGUAGAAUUCCCGGUGUAGCGGUGAAAUGCGUAGAGAUCGGGAGGAAUACCAGUGGCGAAGGCGGCCUUCUGGACUGACACUGACGCUGAGGUGCGAAAGUGUGGGUAGCAAACAGGAUUAGAUACCCUUGUAGUC
RNAcentral lists this ribosomal RNA (465 nucleotides) under Vreelandella stevensii. RNAcentral describes it as "partial 16S ribosomal RNA". It matches the Rfam family "Bacterial small subunit ribosomal RNA", at positions 338 to 795 of the family's 1533-position model. Lineage: Bacteria; Pseudomonadati; Pseudomonadota; Gammaproteobacteria; Oceanospirillales; Halomonadaceae. The record is from RNAcentral.